Molecule: ribosomal RNA, 497 nt
Filed under: uncultured bacterium
Lineage: Bacteria
Description: partial 16S ribosomal RNA
Rfam family: Bacterial small subunit ribosomal RNA
Source: RNAcentral
GAUGAACGCUGGCGGCGUGCCUAAUACAUGCAAGUCGAGCGAACAGACGAGGAGCUUGCUCCUCUGACGUUAGCGGCGGACGGGUGAGUAACACGUGGAUAACCUACCUAUAAGACUGGGAUAACUUCGGGAAACCGGAGCUAAUACCGGAUAAUAUAUUGAACCGCAUGGUUCAAUAGUGAAAGACGGUUUUGCUGUCACUUAUAGAUGGAUCCGCGCCGCAUUAGCUAGUUGGUAAGGUAACGGCUUACCAAGGCGACGAUGCGUAGCCGACCUGAGAGGGUGAUCGGCCACACUGGAACUGAGACACGGUCCAGACUCCUACGGGAGGCAGCAGUAGGGAAUCUUCCGCAAUGGGCGAAAGCCUGACGGAGCAACGCCGCGUGAGUGAUGAAGGUCUUCGGAUCGUAAAACUCGGUUAUUAGGGAAGAACAAAUGUGUAAGUAACUAUGCACGUCUUGACGGUACCUAAUCAGAAAGCCACGGCUAACUACGUG